GAGAGACUGAAGCAUCUGAUACAGUAGAAGCCAAGCCUUCAAACAAUGUGUUUCCUGAGAGAUUUACUGCUGCUCUGCUUGGGUUUGCAAUAUGCACGCUGUGAGGUUGUAUUGACCCAGUCUGGGGCAGAGCUGAGGAAGCCUGGAGAAGCUCUCCAGUUGAAAUGUGAAGUCAGCGGGUUCACUUUGAGCAGCACAUGGAUGGGUUGGAUCCGCCAGGCUCCUGGGCAAGGACUGGAAUGGCUUAUCUGGUAUCACAGCUCUGGAAAUGAGCACUACAACUCGGCUAUCAAAGGAAGAUUCAUUCCUUCUAAAGACAGCUCAAACUUCUACUUGCAAAUGAACAGCCUGAAGACUGAAGACACUGCCGUGUAUUACUGUGCUCGCAGUCUGGUUCUUAACUGA
Non-coding RNA from Acipenser ruthenus (sterlet), 405 nucleotides. NCBI's taxonomy places the organism in Eukaryota, Metazoa, Chordata, Actinopteri, Acipenseriformes, Acipenseridae. The record is from the annotation of a RefSeq genome assembly.